AUCCAUCUGACGGGUCCCAAUUAGGACGAAACGCGCGUCCUGGAU
Molecule: non-coding RNA, 45 nt
Organism: Schistosoma mansoni
Lineage: Eukaryota; Metazoa; Platyhelminthes; Trematoda; Strigeidida; Schistosomatidae
Source: Rfam